Molecule: ribosomal RNA, 426 nt
Filed under: Rhodococcus coprophilus
Lineage: Bacteria; Bacillati; Actinomycetota; Actinomycetes; Mycobacteriales; Nocardiaceae
Description: bacterial SSU rRNA
Rfam family: Bacterial small subunit ribosomal RNA
Source: RNAcentral
UCAGGACGAACGCUGGCGGCGUGCUUAACACAUGCAAGUCGAACGAUGAUGCCCAGCUUGCUGGGCGGAUUAGUGGCGAACGGGUGAGUAACACGUGGGUGAUCUGCCCUGCACUUCGGGAUAAGCCUGGGAAACUGGGUCUAAUACCGGAUAUGACCACAGGAUGCAUGUUUUGUGGUGGAAAGGUUUACUGGUGCAGGAUGAGCCCGCGGCCUAUCAGCUUGUUGGUGGGGUAAUGGCCUACCAAGGCGACGACGGGUAGCCGGCCUGAGAGGGCGACCGGCCACACUGGGACUGAGACACGGCCCAGACUCCUACGGGAGGCAGCAGUGGGGAAUAUUGCACAAUGGGCGAAAGCCUGAUGCAGCGACGCCGCGUGAGGGAUGACGGCCUUCGGGUUGUAAACCUCUUUCAGCAGGGACGAAG